RNAcentral lists this ribosomal RNA (468 nucleotides) under uncultured bacterium. RNAcentral describes it as "partial 16S ribosomal RNA". It matches the Rfam family "Bacterial small subunit ribosomal RNA", at positions 28 to 507 of the family's 1533-position model. The record is from RNAcentral.
GAUGAACGCUGGCGGCGUGCUUAACACAUGCAAGUCGAACGGUGAAGGCGGAGCUUGCUCUGCUGGAUCAGUGGCGAACGGGUGAGUAACACGUGAGCAAUCUGCCCCUGACUCUGGGAUAAGCGCUGGAAACGGCGUCUAAUACUGGAUACGAGCUGCGAAGGCAUCUUCAGCAGCUGGAAAGAAUUUCGGUCAGGGAUGAGCUCGCGGCCUAUCAGCUUGUUGGUGAGGUAAUGGCUCACCAAGGCGUCGACGGGUAGCCGGCCUGAGAGGGUGACCGGCCACACUGGGACUGAGCCACGGCCCAGACUCCUACGGGAGGCAGCAGUGGGGAAUAUUGCACAAUGGGCGAAAGCCUGAUGCAGCAACGCCGCGUGGGGGAAGACGGCCUUCGGGUUGUAAACCUCUUUUAGCAGGGAAGAAGCGAAAGUGACGGUACCUGCAGAAAAAGCGCCGGCUAACUACGUG